CCCUACGGGGGGCAGCAGUGGGGAAUAUUGCACAAUGGGGGAAACCCUGAUGCAGCGACGCCGCGUGAGUGAAGAAGUAUCUCGGUAUGUAAAGCUCUAUCAGCAGGAAAGAUAAUGACGGUACCUGACUAAGAAGCCCCGGCUAACUACGUGCCAGCAGCCGCGGUAAUACGUAGGGGGCAAGCGUUAUCCGGAUUUACUGGGUGUAAAGGGAGCGUAGACGGCAGCGCAAGUCUGGAGUGAAAUGCCGGGGCUCAACCCCGGAACUGCUUUGGAAACUGUGAGGCUCGAGGGCGGGAGAGGGG
Molecule: ribosomal RNA, 305 nt
Filed under: uncultured bacterium
Lineage: Bacteria
Description: bacterial SSU rRNA
Rfam family: Bacterial small subunit ribosomal RNA
Source: RNAcentral